This 125-nucleotide long non-coding RNA is filed under the name Naja naja (Indian cobra). Its description in RNAcentral is "lncRNA (ENSNNAG00000017041.1)". Lineage: Eukaryota; Metazoa; Chordata; Lepidosauria; Squamata; Elapidae. The record is from RNAcentral.
CUGAAGGGAGGGAGGGAAGGAACAGGAGCCCAAGAGCUCAGGACAUUCUACCCUCCCCAGGCAGGGAGCCGAAGCCAGGAGGAGGAAUUAUGCACUUUCUGUUGGAUGCUGUCACCGCGCUGAAU